AGCUAGUUGGUAAGGUAACGGCUUACCAAGGCGACGAUGACUAGGGGGUCUGAGAGGAUGGUCCCCCACACUGGUACUGAGACACGGACCAGACUCCUACGGGAGGCAGCAGUGAGGAAUAUUGGGCAAUGGGCGCAAGCCUGACCCAGCCAUGCCGCGUGCAGGAUGACUGCCCUAUGGGUUGUAAACUGCUUUUAUACGGGAAGAAUGGUUCCUACGUGUAGGGAUUUGACGGUACCGUAAGAAUAAGCAUCGGCUAACUCCGUGCCAGCAGCCGCGGUAAUACGGAGGAUGCAAGCGUUAUCCGGAUUCAUUGGGUUUAAAGGGUGCGCAGGCGGAAUAUUAAGUCAGUGGUGAAAUCCUGCAGCUUAACUGUAGAACUGCCAUUGAUACUGAUAUUCUUGAAUAUAGUUGAGGUGGGCGGAAUGUGUAAUGUAGCGGUGAAAUGCUUAGAUAUUACACAGAACACCGAUUGCGAAGGCAGCUCACUAAACUAAUAUUGACGCUGAGGCACGAAAGCGUGGGGAGCGAACAGGAUUAGAUACCCUGGUAGUCCACGCUGUAAACGAUGAUCACUCGCUGUUGGCAAUACAUCGUCAGCGGCUGAGCGAAAGCAUUAAGUGAUCCACCUGGGGAAUACGAUCGCAAGAUUGAAACUCAAAGGAAUUGACGGGGGCCCGCACAAGCGGAGGAACAUGUGGUUUAAUUCGAUGAUACGCGAGGAACCUUACCUGGGCUUAAAUGCAGAACGACGUUUCGGGAAACCGGAAUUUCUUCGGACGGACUGCAAGGUGCUGCAUGGCUGUCGUCAGCUCGUGCCGUGAGGUGUCGGGUUAAGUCCCAUAACGAGCGCAACCCUUAUCGUUAGUUGCCAGCGGGUAAUGCCGGGGACUCUAACGAAACUGCCGGUGUAAACCGUGAGGAAGGUGGGGAUGACGUCAAGUCAGCACGGCCCUUAUGUCCAGGGCUACACACGUGUUACAAUGGUCGGUACAAAGGGCAGCUACCUGGCAACAGGAUGCUAAUCUCGAAAACCGAUCUCAGUUCGGAUUGAAGUCUGCAAUUCGACUUCAUGAAGCUGGAUUCGCUAGUAAUCGCGCAUCAGCCACGGCGCGGUGAAUACGUUCCCGGGCAUUGUACACACCGCCCGUCAAGCCAUGGAAGCUUGGGGUACCUGAAGGCCGUA
This 1186-nucleotide ribosomal RNA is filed under the name uncultured organism. Its description in RNAcentral is "bacterial SSU rRNA". It matches the Rfam family "Bacterial small subunit ribosomal RNA", at positions 243 to 1432 of the family's 1533-position model. The record is from RNAcentral.